Molecule: ribosomal RNA, 253 nt
Filed under: uncultured bacterium
Lineage: Bacteria
Description: partial 16S ribosomal RNA
Rfam family: Bacterial small subunit ribosomal RNA
Source: RNAcentral
UACGGGGGGGGCAAGCGUUGUUCGGAAUUACUGGGCGUAAAGGGCUCGUAGGUGGCCAACUAAGUCAGACGUGAAAUCCCUCAGCUUAACUGGGGAACUGCGUCUGAUACUGGAUGGCUUGAGUUUGGGAGAGGGAUGCGGAAUUCCAGGUGUAGCGGUGAAAUUCGUAGAUAUCUGGAGGAAUACCGGUGGCGAAGGCGGCAUCCUGGACCAUUACUGACGCUGAGGCGCGAAAGCUAGGGGAGCAAACGGG